AUGGGGCAAUCUGACGUAAGAAUCAUCUGCUGGAACGUCCGCGGUCUCAACUCCCCCGCUCGUCGUGAUGUCGUCCGCGACAUGGUGCGUGACGCGCACGCCACCAUCGUCUGUCUCCAAGAGACAAAACUGCAGUUUGUGGACGACUCCAUCAUCCGGGGCAUGCUUGGCCCAUGCUUUGUUGCAAACUACUUCGCCCUGCCUGCAGCCGGCACUCGCGGUGAAAUGAUUCUCGCCGUCUCCGACCGGUUCUUCUCCAUGUCGGACCGCCACGCAUCAACGGCCACCAUUUCUGCCACAAUCACCAUGCUCAAUGAUAACGUCGCCUGGACUAUCUCGUGCGUCUACGGCCCUCAAGGAGAGCAGGACAAGCUGGCUUUCAUUGAGGAGUUGAGGGCUCUAUCUGCCGUCUCUAGGAAUGAGUGGAUUUUACUGGGUGACUUCAACCUCAUCACUAAAGCGACAGACAAGAACAACAGCAACAUAAACCGCCGACUCAUCGGAAAAUUCAGGAGGGCCCUGGACUUCAUGAAAUUAAAGGAGCUACAUUUAUGUGGACGGAGGUUCACCUGGUCCAAUGAACAGGCUAGUCCGGUCCUGACAAAGAUUGACCAUGUUUUCACUCCGAUGACUGGGAUAUGCUCUUCCCAAAUGCCCACCUCCAGGCCAUCUCCACGGCCUUCUCAGACCACGCACCGCUAUACCUUCAGGGAUGUGUUGACAAUCCAAGGAAGCCAUCCUUCAAGUUCGAGGAGUUCUGGUUGCGCCUCCCUGGCUUCCACGAGGCCGUCUCCAUGGCUUGGAACAAGCCCGUCCAGGCUCAUGACGCGAUCUGUAGGAUACACAUCAAGCUUUGCAGGACUGCGAAGGCCUUGCGUAUGUGGAAGAAGGAGAAGGUCGGUGUGCUUAACACCCAUAUCUCGGUGGCGAUAG
Molecule: ribosomal RNA, 933 nt
Filed under: Triticum aestivum (bread wheat)
Lineage: Eukaryota; Viridiplantae; Streptophyta; Magnoliopsida; Poales; Poaceae
Description: partial small subunit ribosomal RNA
Source: RNAcentral